Molecule: ribosomal RNA, 494 nt
Filed under: uncultured bacterium
Lineage: Bacteria
Description: partial 16S ribosomal RNA
Rfam family: Bacterial small subunit ribosomal RNA
Source: RNAcentral
GACGAACGCUGGCGGCGUGCUUAACACAUGCAAGUCGAACGGAAAGGCCUGCUUUCCCUUGUGGAUUGCGGGUACUCGAGUGGCGAACGGGUGAGUAACACGUGAGUGAUCUGCCCCCAACUUGGGUAUAAGCCUGGGAAACUGGGUCUAAUUCCCGAUAGGACUGCAGGGUGGUGCCUGUGGUGGAAAACGAUUUUCUAGUGGUUGGGGAUGAGCUCGCGGCCUAUCAGCUUGUUGGUGGGGUAAUGGCCUACCAAGGCGGCGACGGGUAGCCGGCCUGAGAGGGUGGACGGCCACAUUGGGACUGAGAUACGGCCCAGACUCCUACGGGAGGCAGCAGUGGGGAAUAUUGCACAAUGGGCGGAAGCCUGAUGCAGCGACGCCGCGUGGGGGAUGACGGCCUUCGGGUGGUAAACUCCUUUCGACCGCGAGGAAGCCACCUGGUUGGAAGGGUGGUGACGGUAGUGGUAGAAGAGGCACCGGCUAACUACGUG